CCCCCUGCUCUCUGCAGCACAGAGAAGAUUAAUGGCAGCAGACACCGGAGCUGCCAACUUGGAAGAUUUCUGUGGCAGAGCAAGAAUAGCUAUGCAUGAGGAAUUUGUGAUAAAAAGCUAGCUGGGACUGUAAUACAGUGCUGGAAAGGAGCCGAGCUGCCCUUCCAUAAUGCAGCCACAUUAAGGUCUGUCUGAUUGUGAUGACAGACAGGUAUUUGACUGAAUACAGUGGCAGCUAUAUAUAAAAAAAAAAAGUAGCUAAAAGCUAAUGUCAAAAGGUGAUGUAGGGUUGUCACAUGCUAUCCACAAUAAUUUUUACUACGACCACUUGCUGGUGAGGAGGGCAAAGGAAACAAUAUUGUCACUGGCUGCCAGGCUGCCUCUGAUGUGCAGGCUUUGGGGACAGAGGGUCCCUUGUCUCCCUCCCUGACGGACAUGUAGCUCUGCCCAAGAGACGUGUAUUGUCUCGCUUGUUUUCCUUUGCCUUGGUUGGAAGAAAAAUGCUACUGGAGAGAGGAAAGAAGGAAUAUGUUGUACUUGGCCCUGUGACUAUAACAGCAAGAAUAUAACCAUGCAACAGGAAAGUCCGGGAUGAAGCUGUGGAAUUCCCUGCUGUCUCCAUGCUUGCUUUGUGACCAGCUGUGCUCCUCGUUCAGUACAAAGCUGUUCUUUUUCAUUCUUCUGAAAGGUGCAGUAUGUCCUGGUGCCCACUGCAGCCAGCCAGAUGGACACCUCCUGCCUCCCACCCACACUGGGUCAUCCCACUCCCAGCCCUGCCUGGCACCCAGAGCAGAUGGGGUACACCCAAGCACACGUCUCCAACUGCAGGGUGAGGUAUCACCCACACCUCUCACCCUUCUCAGGCACUGCUUUGUGUCCGAGUGACCCUUUGUGUUCCUGGGUCACGCCCCCGACCUCUGUGUUCUGCUGUCUUUAUAUUACAAAGAGCACACACAGCCCAAGCUCAUGGAUCAUUUUAUCUUAAAAUACAUACCCAGUCACAUAUGUCUUCAUUCUCUCCCACGGUUUAUCUUCUUUGGCUUUCUUAUAUCUAUUCUAUGUGCCCUGUUGAAAGAUGUUUUCCCCCUAUCUUUUAAUUCUGGGUUUUGUGGGGAUUUUAUUUAUUUUUAUUUUUAUUUUUAUUUUUUGUCGCUUCUGGCGUUGAUUAUUUUGAAGAACCCACAAUAAUUUAGGGCUGUUAUUGUUUUGAAAAUCUACUGUAUUAAAAAUACCUUCCUAUUGCAGAUUUUGUCUAAAUAUUCCUGGUUUUCAGGUCACUGACUGUUUUUUUCCUGAUCAUCUUCUGCUCUCUGUAUAAGGAUGCUAAAGGGAGAAAUGUUAUUUGAGUUGCAGAUACAUUGUAAGCCAGGAGUAAUAAAGUUCUGGUGUGAAGCUCA
Molecule: long non-coding RNA, 1397 nt
Filed under: Coturnix japonica (Japanese quail)
Lineage: Eukaryota; Metazoa; Chordata; Aves; Galliformes; Phasianidae
Description: lncRNA (ENSCJPG00005000479.1)
Source: RNAcentral